AUCCUAGCGUUGGCUAGGAGGCGUCGAGGCGGCGGACGGGUGAGUAAUGCAUGAGGAAUGCUGCCCGGUAGUGGGGGAUGACUUGAGGAAACUCAAGCUAAUACCGCAUACGCCCUACGGGGGAAAGCAGGGGCUCUUCGGACCUUGCGCUAUCGGAUGAGCUUAUGUCGGAUUAGCUGGUUGGUGAGGUAACGGCUCACCAAGGCGACGAUCCGUAGCUGGUCUGAGAGGAUGAUCAGCCACAUCGGGACUGAGACACGGCCCGAACUCCUACGGGAGGCAGCAGUGGGGAAUAUUGGACAAUGGGGGCAACCCUGAUCCAGCCAUGCCGCGUGUGUGAAGAAGGCCCUCGGGUUGUAAAGCACUUUCAGCGAGGAAGAAUGCUUGUCGGUUAAUACCCGGCAAGGGAGACAUCACUCGCAGAAGAAGCACCGGCUAACUCCGUGCCAGCAGCCGCGGUAAUACGGAGGGUGCGAGCGUUAAUCGGAAUUACUGGGCGUAAAGCGUGCGUAGGCGGCUUGAUAAGCCGGUUGUGAAAGCCCCGGGCUCAACCUGGGAACGGCAUCCGGAACUGUUAGGCUAGAGUGCAGGAGAGGAAGGUAGAAUUCCCGGUGUAGCGGUGAAAUGCGUAGAGAUCGGGAGGAAUACCAGUGGCGAAGGCGGCCUUCUGGACUGACACUGACGCUGAGGUACGAAAGCGUGGGUAGCAAAACAGGGAUUAGAUACCCCUGGUAGUCCACGCCGUAAACGAUGUCGACUA
This 760-nucleotide ribosomal RNA is filed under the name Halomonas elongata. RNAcentral's name for it is "bacterial SSU rRNA". It matches the Rfam family "Bacterial small subunit ribosomal RNA", at positions 71 to 818 of the family's 1533-position model. Lineage: Bacteria; Pseudomonadati; Pseudomonadota; Gammaproteobacteria; Oceanospirillales; Halomonadaceae. The record is from RNAcentral.